Molecule: ribosomal RNA, 497 nt
Filed under: uncultured bacterium
Lineage: Bacteria
Description: partial 16S ribosomal RNA
Rfam family: Bacterial small subunit ribosomal RNA
Source: RNAcentral
GAUGAACGCUGGCGGCGUGCCUAAUACAUGCAAGUCGAGCGAACAGACGAGGAGCUUGCUCCUCUGACGUUAGCGGCGGACGGGUGAGUAACACGUGGAUAACCUACCUAUAAGACUGGGAUAACUUCGGGAAACCGGAGCUAAUACCGGAUAAUAUAUUGAACCGCAUGGUUCAAUAGUGAAGGACGGUUUUGCUGUCACUUAUAGAUGGAUCCGCGCCGCAUUAGCUAGUUGGUAAGGUAACGGCUUACCAAGGCAACGAUGCGUAGCCGACCUGAGAGGGUGAUCGGCCACACUGGAACUGAGACACGGUCCAGGCUCCUACGGGAGGCAGCAGUAGGGAAUCUUCCGCAAUGGGCGAAAGCCUGACGGAGCAACGCCGCGUGAGUGAUGAAGGUCUUCGGAUCGUAAAACUCUGUUAUUAGGGAAGAACAAAUGUGUAAGUAACUAUGCACGUCUUGACGGUACCUAAUCAGAAAGCCACGGCUAACUACGUG